RNAcentral lists this ribosomal RNA (301 nucleotides) under uncultured bacterium. Its description in RNAcentral is "partial 16S ribosomal RNA". It matches the Rfam family "Bacterial small subunit ribosomal RNA", at positions 509 to 807 of the family's 1533-position model. The record is from RNAcentral.
CAGCCGCCGCGGGAAUACGGAGGGAGCUAGCGUUGUUCGGAAUUACUGGGCGUAAAGCGCGCGUAGGCGGUUACUCAAGUCAGAGGUGAAAGCCCGGGGCUCAACCCCGGAACUGCCUUUGAAACUAGGUGACUAGAAUCUUGGAGAGGUCAGUGGAAUUCCGAGUGUAAAGGUGAAAUUCGUAGAUAUUCGGAAGAACACCAGUGGCGAAGGCGACUGACUGGACAAGUAUUGACGCUGAGGUGCGAAAGCGUGGGGAGCAAACAGGAUUAGAGACCCCAGUAGUCCCUGUCUCUUAUAC